UGCCAGACUCCUACGGGAGGCAGCAGUGGGGAAUAUUGGGCAAUGGGCGCAAGCCUGACCCAGCAACGCCGCGUGAAGGAAGAAGGCUUUCGGGUUGUAAACUUCUUUUAAGAGGGAAGAGUAGAAGACGGUACCUCUUGAAUAAGCCACGGCUAACUACGUGCCAGCAGCCGCGGUAAUACGUAGGGAGCGAGCGUUAUCCGGAUUUACUGGGUGUAAAGGGCGUGUAGGCGGGAUGGCAAGUCAGGCGUGAAAACUAUGGGCUCAACCCAUAGCCUGCGUUUGAAACUGUCGUUCUUGAGUGAUGGAGAGGCAAGCGGAAUUCCGUGUGUAGCGGUGAAAUGCGUAGAUAUUAGGAGGAACACCAGUGGCGAAGGCGGCUUUCUGGACUGUAACUGACGUUGAGGCACGAAAGUGUGGGGAGCAAACAGGAUUAGAUACCCUAGUA
RNAcentral lists this ribosomal RNA (448 nucleotides) under uncultured bacterium. RNAcentral's name for it is "bacterial SSU rRNA". It matches the Rfam family "Bacterial small subunit ribosomal RNA", at positions 329 to 792 of the family's 1533-position model. The record is from RNAcentral.